GGAAAGGAAUUUCCGCUCCGGAUAAGCCCCAGUGCAAACAAGCUGCAACAGCGGCCUCAGCGGGAGGAAGGAGAAAGAAGAGGAGGCGGCGGCGGAGGAGCAGGGCACAUAAACCAGGGCACUUCAGUUGUCUCAUGUUUCCUUCUGUUGAGAGUUCACACUUCGCGUCGGAACUUUUGCGCACAAAUGGUGCAAUUAGCAGGCACAAAAGCCCUUGUUCGUGACCAAGCGAGCUUUAGGAAAACUUGCGCUGACUUUUUUCUUUCCUUUUUAUUCCCUUUAAACUCAUUUGGACUGGAGUUCGCCUUACCCCUCCUCCCCCGCCCUCCUUUCGGCGGUGUGACCUUUGUUUUCCUGUUUAAAAGCCCAAUUCUGUUGGCUCUGAUGUUCUUUUAGCCGAGGCUGUGUUGGGGCUGCUGGACUGCCUGGGCUUUAGUGACCGGUGAGGUGUUAAAUGUUAAUCCAACAUCUUUGGAAACAAACCAGGAUUAUAUUGAAACAUUUUAAAGCAAGCAAACAAAUACCUGUUGUCCAGAUAAUAGGAAUCAAGCUUUUUUUAAAAAAGAAAUAGCGUUUUAAUUAUUGUUUUUAAACAGUGGAGACUGCAGAAACAAACUUGUUGGACAGUCCGAUGCUUUUAUCCCCCUCCAGCGGCGUGGGGCGUAAGGAGCCAGAGCCAUUGUUCCUGUGAUCCUGGCCCCCGCGCCGGUCACCCAACCGUGCGCUGAGCGGGUGGGGGUCGCGCUCGUCACUAAUUUCUGGGCAGGAAGCUCAGCUUCCGAAAAAGGCGCUGCUCGGGCGGGGCCGCCCGCGCGAGGUGCACUAGGGCGCUCGGAGCCUGUGGGCUGGCCCACCAUCGUGGAGGCUCGGGGAAGCCCUCCCGCAAGCCUGCAGGUUGCAGGGAUAAAUUGGGCUCGGCGAGCGGUGACUGUGUAGACAGAGCAGCAUGUCCAAGGGGAGCCUGCCCACCCCCCACCCUCCCACUCUCUUCCCAGCGUGAACCGCAGCCCCCUCCCCUGCGUCACGGCUCUCGCGGAGGACGGGCCGCGCCUGCGCAUUGCACUCCUUGUCAGCACCCCCGUCACCCCGGUCUCCUAGCUAGAGGCCUGAGUCCUUUCCAUCCCAAAGACCCCCUUCGCGGGCUGCCUCACAGCUCGCCUGGAAUCGGCUGGUCUACAGAGAAACCCUCUGUGGAACUGCCCUGAGCAGCUGAAUCCACCCCAACCCGGCUGCCAAGCAAAGCAGGUGCUGUUACAGACCAGGGUCAAAACCCUUUAACUGGGUUAACGGACAGGAAGUACCCAGAUGAAUGACUUUACCUGAGGUCACAGAUUAGGAAAUGGUGGGGCCAGGAUUUGAGACAAGACCUUUCAGGAUUAACCACACACAUGUUCCAGAAAGCAGCAGUGAACAAGACAAAGAAUACCUGCCUUCCCAGAGCUUGCAUCCUAUUGAGGACAGACAAUCGAUUACAGAAAUAAUUCUACAGUAUAUUAGAAAGUGAAAGUGCUAUGGAGAAAAAUAAAGCAAGGAAGGGAAUUCA
Myotis davidii is the source of this 1543-nucleotide long non-coding RNA. RefSeq lists it as uncharacterized. NCBI's taxonomy places the organism in Eukaryota, Metazoa, Chordata, Mammalia, Chiroptera, Vespertilionidae. The transcript has 4 exons. The record is from RefSeq and is a predicted model, not a curated record.